RNAcentral lists this long non-coding RNA (1247 nucleotides) under Homo sapiens (human). RNAcentral's name for it is "non-protein coding lnc-SYCP3-1:1". Lineage: Eukaryota; Metazoa; Chordata; Mammalia; Primates; Hominidae. The record is from RNAcentral.
GGUCGGAACACGACUCCGGUCGCCCAGUGUUAGCCACUGCAGGACCACGCUGCCCGCAGAGCCUGGGGGUUUUCGUGUGAGAACACAGUUUUGCAGGGCUCGGGUCACGGGGGUGACGGCCCCAUCUGUCCUGCUUGGUAAAACACACAAGCACAAUUCUCCCUUUCUGUACGGAGGAAGGCGGCCCUGCCAUGUAUUCGCUCUAGAGACCCAUCACUGCGGAUUCAGAGACCAAGGUUUUGAAACUGAAAAUCAGGGCUUAGAAACACUAACAAGGAGACCGAAUGGCUGAAACCCCGAUACCUAUUUUCUUCAGCGCAUUUGAUACCAACAAGGGGGACAUCUGUCAUAAACACGUUCUGUUGCACAACCUGAGACAGGCCUGUCACUUGCUUUGCUCUUCACUUCAUGGCUCUGAUCUGCACGCACUUUCUAAGGCCUAGGACAAGCCAGAAAUUGCUUCCAAGACACUUGUGUGGCGCAACCUCUAUCGGCAAGUGCAGUUUGCCUCACGGGCUUCGUCAAACACUUGGCACAGGGGUCCACGAACUGCUGCCUGUGUGCCAGACCCAGCCCACCACCUGUUUUCCUACAGCCCUCCAGCUAAGUAUGGUUUUGACAUUUUUAAAUGAUUGGAAAAAAUCAAAAGAAUACAAUUUUGUGUUGUGAAAUUAUAUGAAAUUCAAAGUUCAGUGCCACGAAUAAAGCCAUGUUUAUUCCUUACCUAUUGUUUGGCUGCCUUCAUGCUACAAGGGCAGCAGAAUUCAGUUGUGACAGACCGUAUGGCUGGCAAAGCCUGGACUAUGUCCUACUAGGCCCUUUAAGGAAAAAACUGGCAACCACUGCCUUAGAGCAAUGAGGGUCUCUACAGACCAAGCGUAUAUGUCUUAGGAAUAUGGAUCUCCUCAUCUUUAGUGUGAAAAACGAUGCUGACAAAUGCAGGAAAGGAAAUGGAAUGAUGGAGAUCCACUUUUAACAAUGCUGGUUUAUGUGCAGUGAACUUGACAGUAACUACUUUUUAAUUUACCGAUGCCAUGAACAGUCCAAGGAAAAAAUCCUUUUCUAGAUUAGCCGAUUUCACUGUAUUAAAGAUAAUUUUUAAUGUACAUCAAAAGACGUCAUCAAGAGAAUGAAAAGACAAGCCAUAAACUGGGAAAAGGUAUUUCCCUCAAAACCCACAAUGAGUAGAACCCAGAUUAUGUAAAGAACUCCUAAAAAUCAAUCAGAAUAAAAAAUAAUCAACUGGG